Molecule: ribosomal RNA, 559 nt
Filed under: uncultured bacterium
Lineage: Bacteria
Description: partial 16S ribosomal RNA
Rfam family: Bacterial small subunit ribosomal RNA
Source: RNAcentral
UGGGGAAUUUUGGACAAUGGGCGAAAGCCUGAUCCAGCAAUGCCGCGUGUGUGAAGAAGGCCUUCGGGUUGUAAAGCACUUUUGUCCGGAAAGAAAUCCUUGGCUCUAAUACAGUCGGGGGAUGACGGUACCGGAAGAAUAAGCACCGGCUAACUACGUGCCAGCAGCCGCGGUAAUACGUAGGGUGCAAGCGUUAAUCGGAAUUACUGGGCGUAAAGCGUGCGCAGGCGGUUUGCUAAGACCGAUGUGAAAUCCCCGGGCUCAACCUGGGAACUGCAUUGGUGACUGGCAGGCUAGAGUAUGGCAGAGGGGGGUAGAAUUCCACGUGUAGCAGUGAAAUGCGUAGAGAUGUGGAGGAAUACCGAUGGCGAAGGCAGCCCCCCUGGGCCAAUACUGACGCUCAUGCACGAAAGGCGUGGGGGAGCAAACAGGAUUAGAUACCCUGGUAGUCCACGCCCUAAACGAUGUCAACUAGUUGUUGGGGAUUCAUUUCCUUAGUAACGUAGCUAACGCGUGAAGUUGACCGCCUGGGGAGUACGGUCGCAAGAUUAAACUCAAU